Molecule: ribosomal RNA, 447 nt
Filed under: uncultured bacterium
Lineage: Bacteria
Description: bacterial SSU rRNA
Rfam family: Bacterial small subunit ribosomal RNA
Source: RNAcentral
GAUGAACGCUAGCGGCAGGCUUAACACAUGCAAGUCGAGGGGCAGCGCGGGUAGCAAUACCUGGCGGCGACCGGCAAACGGGUGAGUAACACGUGGGAAUCUACCCAUCAGUACGGAAUAACAUUUGGAAACAAAUGCUAAUACCGUAUAUUCUCUACGGAGGAAAGAUUUAUCGCUGAUGGAUGAGCCCGCGUUAGAUUAGGUAGUUGGUAGGGUAAUGGCCUACCAAGCCGACGAUCUAUAGCUGGUCUGAGAGGAUGAUCAGCCACACUGGGACUGAGACACGGCCCAGACUCCUACGGGAGGCAGCAGUGGGGAAUAUUGGACAAUGGGCGAAAGCCUGAUCCAGCAAUACCGCGUGAGUGAUGAAGGCCUUAGGGUUGUAAAGCUCUUUUAGUAGGGAAGAUAAUGACGGUACCUACAGAAAAAGCCCCGGCUAACUCCGUG